RNAcentral lists this ribosomal RNA (199 nucleotides) under uncultured bacterium. Its description in RNAcentral is "partial 16S ribosomal RNA". It matches the Rfam family "Bacterial small subunit ribosomal RNA", at positions 1292 to 1500 of the family's 1533-position model. The record is from RNAcentral.
UUCGGACUGCAGGCUGCAACCCGCCUGCACGAAGCCGGAGUUGCUAGUAAUCGCGAAUCAGAAUGUCGCGGUGAAUGCGUUCCCGGGUCUUGUACACACCGCCCGUCACACCAUGGAAGUUGGGGGUGCCCAAAGCCGGCAAGCAAAUAUGCUGUCUAAGGCAAAACCAAUGACUGGGGUGAAGUCGUAACAAGGUAGC